RNAcentral lists this microRNA (20 nucleotides) under Mus musculus (house mouse). RNAcentral describes it as "mmu-miR-3078-3p". Lineage: Eukaryota; Metazoa; Chordata; Mammalia; Rodentia; Muridae. The record is from miRBase by way of RNAcentral.
UUGCUGGGGUAGUCUUUAGG